This 458-nucleotide long non-coding RNA is filed under the name Mytilus galloprovincialis (Mediterranean mussel). Lineage: Eukaryota; Metazoa; Mollusca; Bivalvia; Mytilida; Mytilidae. The record is from RNAcentral.
GUAAAAUGCAGUUUUUGGUUUAUGACUCAAAAACCAAAGCAUUAAGAGCAAAUCUGACACAGGGUAUAUUUGUUUAUCAGGUCAAGUUCUAUCUUCCCUGAAAUUUUCAGAUGAAUCGGACAACCCGUUGUUGGGUUGUUGCCCCUAAAUUGGUAAUUUUAAGGAAAUUUUACUGUUUUUGGUUAUUAUCUUGAAUAUUAUUAUAGAUAGAGAUAAACUGUAAACAGCAAUAAUGUUCAGCAAAGUAAGAUUUACAAAUAAGUCAAACUGACCGAAAUGGUCAAAUGACCCCUUUAGGAGUUAUUGCCCUUUAUAGUCAAUGUUUAACCAUUUUUCGUAAAUCUUAGUAAUCUUUUACAAAAAUCUUCCGCUCUGAAACUACUGGGCCAAAUUAAUCCAAACUUGGCCACAAUCAUCUUUGGGGUAUCUAGUUUAAAAAAUGUGUCUUGUGACCCGGC